This 366-nucleotide ribosomal RNA is filed under the name uncultured bacterium. Its description in RNAcentral is "bacterial SSU rRNA". It matches the Rfam family "Bacterial small subunit ribosomal RNA", at positions 124 to 488 of the family's 1533-position model. The record is from RNAcentral.
ACCUACCUAUAACUGAGGGAUAGCCCAUAGAAAUGUGGAUUAAUACCUCAUAACAACUAAAGAUGGCAUCAUCUUAAGUUUAAAACUCCGGUGGUUAUAGAUGGGCAUGCGUGACAUUAGCUAGUUGGUGAGGUAACUGCUCACCAAGGCAACGAUGUCUAGGGGUUCUGAGAGGAUGAUCCCCCACACUGGUACUGAGACACGGACCAGACUCCUACGGGAGGCAGCAGUGAGGAAUAUUGCGCAAUGGAGGAAACUCUGACGCAGCCAUGCCGCGUGCAGGAUGACUGCCCUAUGGGUUGUAAACUGCUUUUAUAUAGGAAGAACUACAGAUACGUGUAUUUGUUUGACGGUACUAUACGAAUA